Molecule: ribosomal RNA, 158 nt
Filed under: uncultured Synechococcus sp.
Lineage: Bacteria; Bacillati; Cyanobacteriota; Cyanophyceae; Synechococcales; Synechococcaceae
Description: partial 23S ribosomal RNA
Rfam family: Bacterial large subunit ribosomal RNA
Source: RNAcentral
GGUCAAGCUACAAAGGGCUCACGGCGGAUACCUUGGCACACAGAGGCGAUGAAGGACGUGGUUACCUGCGAUAAGUCCCGGGGAGCUGGAAGCACGCUUUGAUCCGGGAAUUUCCGAAUGGGGCAACCCUUAAUACGGCCAGCUGAAUCCAUAGGCUG